GCAGUCGAGCGGAUGAGAGAGCUUGCUCUCUGAUUCAGCGGCGGACGGGUGAGUAAUGCCUAGGAAUCUGCCUGGUAGUGGGGGACAACGUCUCGAAAGGGACGCUAAUACCGCAUACGUCCUACGGGAGAAAGCAGGGGACCUUCGGGCCUUGCGCUAUCAGAUGAGCCUAGGUCGGAUUAGCUAGUUGGUGAGGUAAUGGCUCACCAAGGCGACGAUCCGUAACUGGUCUGAGAGGAUGAUCAGUCACACUGGAACUGAGACACGGUCCAGACUCCUACGGGAGGCAGCAGUGGGGAAUAUUGGACAAUGGGCGAAAGCCUGAUCCAGCCAUGCCGCGUGUGUGAAGAAGGUCUUCGGAUUGUAAAGCACUUUAAGUUGGGAGGAAGGGCAGUAAAUUAAUACUUUGCUGUUUUGACGUUACCGACAGAAUAAGCACCGGCUAACUCUGUGCCAGCAGCCGCGGUAAUACAGAGGGUGCAAGCGUUAAUCGGAAUUACUGGGCGUAAGCGCGCGUAGGUGGUUUGUUAAGUUGGAUGUGAAA
RNAcentral lists this ribosomal RNA (544 nucleotides) under Pseudomonas sp. RNAcentral's name for it is "bacterial SSU rRNA". It matches the Rfam family "Bacterial small subunit ribosomal RNA", at positions 57 to 599 of the family's 1533-position model. Lineage: Bacteria; Pseudomonadati; Pseudomonadota; Gammaproteobacteria; Pseudomonadales; Pseudomonadaceae. The record is from RNAcentral.